GGAUGUGAGGGCGAUCUGGCUGCGACAUCUGUCGCCUUAUUGAUCGCCAGGGUUGAUUCGGCUGAUCUGACUGGCUAGGCAAGUGUCCCCUUCUCUCCUCAACAAUCCAUGUGCAUCCCUCCUAAAGCUGCGCACUCAGUUGAAGAGGACGACCACUCCCAAUAGAGGAGGACUGUUCCUCAAGGGUAUAUGAGUAGCUGCACUCCCCUGCUAGAAACUCCAAAUAAGCUCUCAAGAAUAUAAGGAAGAGUCUGUAUCUUGUACAAUGAAAAACCACUAAGACAACAAUAUACAAUGUAUUAAUUAUUG
Molecule: small nuclear RNA, 309 nt
Filed under: Octodon degus (degu)
Lineage: Eukaryota; Metazoa; Chordata; Mammalia; Rodentia; Octodontidae
Description: 7SK RNA (ENSODEG00000023676.1)
Rfam family: 7SK RNA
About the family: 7SK was discovered as an abundant small nuclear RNA in the mid-70s but a possible function has only recently been suggested. Two independent studies have found that 7SK RNA binds the CDK9/cyclin T complex (known as elongation factor P-TEFb).
Source: RNAcentral